RNAcentral lists this ribosomal RNA (245 nucleotides) under uncultured Eubacteriales bacterium. Its description in RNAcentral is "uncultured Clostridiales bacterium partial 16S ribosomal RNA". It matches the Rfam family "Bacterial small subunit ribosomal RNA", at positions 524 to 768 of the family's 1533-position model. Lineage: Bacteria; Bacillati; Bacillota; Clostridia; Eubacteriales. The record is from RNAcentral.
UACGUAGGGAGCAAGCGUUGUCCGGAAUUACUGGGCGUAAAGGGCGCGCAGGCGGCCAUAUAAGUCAGGUGUGAAAAACCGGGGCUCAACCCCGGUCCUGCAUUUGAAACUGUAUGGCUUGAGGGUGAGAGAGGAAAGUGGAAUUCCUAGUGUAGCGGUGAAAUGCGUAGAUAUUAGGAGGAACACCAGUGGCGAAGGCGACUUUCUGGCUCAUACCUGACGCUGAGGCGCGAAAGCGUGGGGAG